CAAGGAUUCCCCUAGUAACGGCGAGUGAACGGGGAAAAGCCCAGCGCUGAAUCCCUUGGCCUCUGGCUACUGGGAGUUGUAGCGUAUAGGUGUGACUGUCUGGUUUUUUCGCUCACCCAAAGUCCCCUUGAGUGGGGCUACAGUCCUGAGAAGGUGCGAGACCUGUACGGGUGGUGAGAGAACCGGUAGGUUGCUCCUUGGAGUCGGGUUGCCUGAGAUCGCAGCCCAAAGAGGGUGGUAAACCUCAUCUAAGGCUAAAUACGGCCACGAGACCGAUAGCAAACAAGUACCGUGAGGGAAAGUUGCAAAGAACUUUGAAGAGAGAGUUCAAGAGGGCGUGAAACCGCUGAGAUUGAAACGGAUAGAGUUGACGAAACUUGGCGGCAUUCAGCCGGCUGAUUUAGCGGACUUUCGGUCGUAGUCCUCGAUGAGGGUGCGGACGUUUGUAACUGCCGAGUUGGCUGGUGCAUUUGCCGUCGGUAUGCGCUGAGAGCUUCGCUGUCGCGAGCUGCACCGCGUUCAGAGGGCCACUUCGGUGGAAACCUGUGCGCGGGUAGGUUCGUCGAUGGUGAGGUUUGCUUCUGUCGUCUCCGCUAGUGCGCGCUUGGUGUGCUUCGGUGAGUGGUGUUGUGGGUGGUCGCUUGCGAUCUAUUCACAGCAUUGCUUGUCAGGUUCGCCGGGUGCGUUGAGACGGCUUCUCGGUGUGAAAGUCGACCACCUAUCCGACC
This 728-nucleotide ribosomal RNA is filed under the name Megalobatrachonema wangi. Its description in RNAcentral is "partial 28S large subunit ribosomal RNA". It matches the Rfam family "Eukaryotic large subunit ribosomal RNA", at positions 69 to 649 of the family's 3401-position model. The record is from RNAcentral. Lineage: Eukaryota; Metazoa; Nematoda; Chromadorea; Rhabditida; Kathlaniidae.